GAGUGUCAUCCAUCAUGUUGCAGAUUUGUUUGAUUUGGCUGGUCUCGGGUUUCUUUGAGGAAUCCAGUGGGCAGAUUGCCAUCACUCAGACACCGGCUUCGAUACAGGCAAGUCGUUGGGGCAGAGCAACAAUCCAGUGCAAAGCUGCCUCUUCUGUCGACCGUUAUAUGGCCUUAUAUCAGUUUAAAUCAGGUCAGAACCCCAAGCUACUGAUUUAUUAUGGUUCAACCCGUUUCGAAGGGACUCCAGAUCGCUUCAGUGGCAGCUACAACGGCAACGACUUCUCUUUCACUAUAAACGGUGUCCAUGCCGAGGACGAAGGGGUAUAUUUCUGUGGCCAAUACUACAGCCUUCCUCUCCACAGUGAUACACUUCAGUACAAAAACCAGCUCAGUAGCCUAAGACAGAAGGAAGAAAUGGCAGCAGGUGUUCUGCAGUAG
Non-coding RNA from Lacerta agilis (Sand lizard), 440 nucleotides. Lineage: Eukaryota; Metazoa; Chordata; Lepidosauria; Squamata; Lacertidae. The record is from the annotation of a RefSeq genome assembly.